AGAAUCAACGCUGGCGGCGUGCCUCAGACAUGCAAGUCGAACGAUUAAGACUUCCUUCGGGAAGUGUAUAGAGUGGCGCACGGGUGAGUAACACGUAGGUUAUCUACCUCCGAGUGGGGAAUAACAGUCGGAAACGACUGCUAAUACCGCAUAAUACCGAUAAGGUCAAAGCUUUAGUGCUUGGAGAGGAGCCUGCGGCAGAUUAGCUAGUCGGUAAGGUAAUGGCUUACCAAGGCAACGAUCUGUAUCCGGUCUAAGAGGACGGUCGGACACACUGACACUGAAUAACGGGUCAGACUCCUACGGGAGGCAGCAGUCGGGAAUUUUGGGCAAUGGGCGAAAGCCUGACCCAGCAACGCCGCGUGAAGGAUGAAGUCUUUCGGGAUGUAAACUUCGAAAGAAUAGGAAGAAUAAAUGACGGUACUAUUUUAAGCCCGGCUAACUCCGUGCCAGCAGCCGC
Molecule: ribosomal RNA, 460 nt
Filed under: uncultured bacterium
Lineage: Bacteria
Description: SSU rRNA
Rfam family: Bacterial small subunit ribosomal RNA
Source: RNAcentral